RNAcentral lists this long non-coding RNA (206 nucleotides) under Elaeis guineensis (African oil palm). RNAcentral describes it as "long non-coding RNA (EGUI_LNC028348)". The record is from RNAcentral. Lineage: Eukaryota; Viridiplantae; Streptophyta; Magnoliopsida; Arecales; Arecaceae.
UUGGCCAAUAUAGACGUCAAAAUUCUGCUGCUCUUUUCUUUCCAUUGAGCUAUCUUGUUGACUUGAACGUCGGAGGAUCCUCGUCAGAGCUAUCUCUGAAGAGAUUUUCUUUGUAGGUCCCUCUUCCCUGAUGCUGCGUGGAGGUCAUCACCGACAUCUGUCGCCACCCUCACUCUCGCUCUUGGCCUUCUUGACUGUGCACCUUC